AUCAGCUUUGCAGUUUGCCACUCUAGGGUGAGAAGAGCUGUUCCCGGCAUGCUAAUUUUGCCACUGAGCAGGCUCAUCUGUAUCUUGUAAAAGGGAGGUUACCGCAAAUGUGCACCCUUACCACACUCUGCUUCUGCAGUAGGAGAGGACUUCUGGCACUGAGGCUCCCGGUGCUAUCCCUGCUGUGCCAGGGCCGCAAUGACAGUCUUCAGAAGAAUAAAGAAGGGAAAAAAGCCCCAGCUGCAACUUCAAGGAAUGGCUCAAUGUGCUAUUUACGUCUUGACGGAACAGCAUUGCUAUCCACGGUGGCAGUUUGUGAGUGUAAACCUUCUUAGAUAGCUCUCAUGCUCAGAUUUCUAUGCUGCAGCUCGUUAGCAGGAGAGCUGCCUGUGGGGCUGCGGCAGGUUUCAGUACGACAGGAUAUGCACUAAAAUAAAAAUCUGGUUAGGGGUGGUGUGAUUCUAGUGCUGGCUGGGCACUGGCAAUUAAGCCUGGAUGAAAAUAAGACACCUGGACUUUGUAACUCCUGGGAUAUGACAUACCACUUGCUGAGGGCCAUCGCUGCCCAGGAAAGCACUAAAACAGGUGUAUAAAUCCUACUGUGUUCAGUGGGAUUUAGGCACCUGCUUAAAUUUAAGUGCUUGUUUAGAGAGUUUCCUGAAUGAAAGCCUGACAAUUGUGCCCAAGAGUAACUUUUAAAUUAGUUUUAAUUUGCUCAUCAUAACCAGCUGUCAUGAGCCUAUGUAAAAAGGGUUUGAUUUUGGAAAGAUGAAAGACUUCCCAGGUCCUUGGCUUUCCUGUAAGCACCCUUCCCGGAUGGCCAGCACCCUGCUGAGCUGAAGCAGCCCUGCUCAGACCUGCUUUUAUUCCUCCUUGCUUCGUGGUCCCGUGGGGGCUGCAGUGUUAGCCCAGCACUCUGCAAAGCAAACUGCCCUGCCAGCAACUGACAUCACCCAACUGCAUCUCUCCAGCCGUAUCCCAUCUGAGGCAAUCUGCAGGCUGCAACAGUGGAAGAGAGAGUCCACUCUUUCUUGGAGGUUCCGAGUCAGCUGCGUUAAGAUUUGAACAAGAAUCAAGGAGGAUAAUGGGUCAGAUGUAAUUAAGAGGUCUUCAAGGAGCUGUGGGACAGCAUGAGAAGACAGGACACUGCCAGCUGCUGUGUGAGAGCUGGAGCCUGCCACAGCAUGAGAGGGGCCAGCAGUGAGAAACGGGCUGCCUGCAACAGCCUGAAGGUUUAGCUCUGCCAGAGGUUAGAAAAGAGGUUGUUUGUCUGAAGAGACACGGGUGUGGUGAAAAUACUCGGUGCCAGCCAAGUGAACCAAAACACUAUCUGAAUUACAAAGCAGGCUGGAAAAUAAAAUGUUGCUGUCGGAAGAUCUGGACCCAACCUGUGCUGAGAGAUAGAUAGAAAAGAAGUCCCAGGAGCUGGCCAUGUACAUCUGGAGGAAGAAGAGAGGAAUGGAGGGGAGGAUAUUCUGGAGGAAGGAGGAGCCUGGAGUAUUCGUUGUCUUUCCACCUCUGCAGUUCUCUCUCUGCACCCCUUUGCGUGGGAGCAGCUGCGUAUUGCGGGUGAGUGUGCUGCUUCCAAGU
Empidonax traillii (willow flycatcher) is the source of this 1590-nucleotide long non-coding RNA. RefSeq lists it as uncharacterized. NCBI's taxonomy places the organism in Eukaryota, Metazoa, Chordata, Aves, Passeriformes, Tyrannidae. The transcript has 5 exons. The record is from RefSeq and is a predicted model, not a curated record.